This 69-nucleotide transfer RNA is filed under the name Lepidotrigona terminata. Its description in RNAcentral is "tRNA-Gly". The record is from RNAcentral. Lineage: Eukaryota; Metazoa; Arthropoda; Insecta; Hymenoptera; Apidae.
GUAUUUAUAGUAUAUAAUUAUUACAACUAACUUCCAAUUAGUAAAAUUACUGUUAAAGUAAUAUAUACA